This 427-nucleotide ribosomal RNA is filed under the name uncultured bacterium. RNAcentral describes it as "partial 16S ribosomal RNA". It matches the Rfam family "Bacterial small subunit ribosomal RNA", at positions 355 to 774 of the family's 1533-position model. The record is from RNAcentral.
UGGGGAAUAUUGGACAAUGGGCGAAAGCCUGAUCCAGCCAUGCCGCAUGUGUGAAGAAGGUCUUCGGAUUGUAAAGCACUUUAAGUUGGGAGGAAGGGCAGUAAGUUAAUACCUUGCUGUUUUGACGUUACCGACAGAAUAAGCACCGGCUAACUCUGUGCCAGCAGCCGCGGUAAUACAGAGGGUGCAAGAGUUAAUCGGAAUUACUGGGCGUAAAGCGCGCGUAGGUGGUUUGUUAAGUUGGAUGUGAAAGCCCCGGGCUCAACCUGGGAACUGCAUCCAAAACUGGCAAGCUAGAGUACGGUAGAGGGUGGUGGAAUUUCCUGUGUAGCGGUGAAAUGCGUAGAUAUAGGAAGGAACACCAGUGGCGAAGGCGACCACCUGGACUGAUACUGACACUGAGGUGCGAAAGCGUGGGGAGCAAACA